GUGGGUAACCUACCCUGUACACACGGAUAACAUACCGAAAGGUAUGCUAAUACGGGAUAAUAUAUUUGAGAGGCAUCUCUUGAAUAUCAAAGGUGAGCCAGUACAGGAUGGACCCGCGUCUGAUUAGUUAGUUGGUAAGGUAACGGCUUACCAAGGCGACGAUCAGUAGCCGACCUGAGAGGGGGAUCGGCCACAUUGGAACUGAGACA
This 209-nucleotide ribosomal RNA is filed under the name Clostridioides difficile. RNAcentral's name for it is "partial 16S ribosomal RNA". It matches the Rfam family "Bacterial small subunit ribosomal RNA", at positions 117 to 326 of the family's 1533-position model. The record is from RNAcentral. Lineage: Bacteria; Bacillati; Bacillota; Clostridia; Peptostreptococcales; Peptostreptococcaceae.